This is a long non-coding RNA of Dicentrarchus labrax (European seabass), 2219 nucleotides long. The record is from Ensembl. NCBI's taxonomy places the organism in Eukaryota, Metazoa, Chordata, Actinopteri, Moronidae.
AUGAUCCAAAAACACAAUGUGGAAUUUUCCAAGUACAGCCAGUGCUGCAGUGGUCAGAGUGAUGGCGUAAAGGAAGACGAAAAGGAAGGAGGCAGAAUGAAGGGUGAACGUGACUUAACACACACCAAAAAAAAACAAACAAACACCCUUCUGAGCCCUUGUGAUGAAGGACCCACCACCUUAUCUUCCUCAGCAAAUUCAGUGGAAAAAUACCAGACAGACAUAAAGAUACAGAGGCAGCUGAGAUGGAGAGCCCCCAAAAACACCGACGAGCUGAAUGUUUAAAGUUAUUGUAAAGUGGAUGCUACAGAAUCUCUUAGUUAGUUUACUUUAAUUUUCAUUUAACUCAUUUAUAAAUAUUACGAAUCUGCCUAAACCCUAAUGGUGUUAAUAAAAAAGACAUACAUGAAAUAAAUUAAAGGUUAUGUAGGCAUAUAUGAAAUUCACUGCCUCUGCAUGUCAGACUACAGCAUCAGCAUCUCAAAUCAAAACAAAUCCCUUGCAGAUAAUGGAAAACACACUUCAAACUGGACACAAACAAAAUAAACAAAUCAAGCAGGUGAUGUUUCCAUGUGUAUAUUUUAAAGAUAUCUUCUUGCUAGGUUCCCACUAUUACAUUUUGCAAUGUAAACGUUAUUGCACCUCUAUGUAAGUCUGACCAAUUACAUGGGAUAAGCUUUGAAAUGUGUUUACUCAUAUCACAUCAUUUCCUAAAUUCCAUUAACUGGGCCUACAUUUUCCCAAAUGACAGAAAAAUUAUUUCCAAUGAAUUGACUGUAGUUUUUUGUCUCUUUUUAGACCUUUGAAAAAGUAAGGAGUCUCUGAAGGCCAGUAUAAAAAAGAUAAUACUGUCUGCCUAAAAAUCAUCAUGCCUCUCUUCAGUAAGUACAGUAAAUGUGGCAAUUUAAUGAUUUAACUUGAAAUACAGCAUUGCUACAGAGUGCAACCGGAGGAUGUGCGUUAAUUCUCAGCAGUGGAUAGAUGGGCUGUUAAGGACAAAUGAUUCCCAGCUGAAUCUGACACACAGCCAUGCCACAGUCAGUUACUGCAGCCUUUUUGGUGUGAAAGUGGAGGAGGUGAUUGGAAACGUGUUAAUGACAUUCUGUGACGACUCGGACGACUGGGCUCCUGCGGUAAUGUGAUAAUGGCUGUAGUUGAGGUCAUUUAGUGGGUAAAUGACUAAGGUAGGUUUUUGCUGCAGUCUGUUGGGACAGUGUGGGAAUGAUGACAUUGUAAAUGGUGGUGAGGGAGAGGGAUAGUGAAGAUACGUCUGUGCGUUACUACGCUAUAGAUCAUUGCGUCACCGGUGAUGGUGGAGGACAUGACAUCAUUUGCCUGAUACUGAUCAAGACCCCACAUAUCCAGUAACCUCAGCAGGGGCACACACAUCCAGUACUUACACACAGACACUCAGUAUAAUUGUAUACGAGAACAUUUACUUAAGUAGAUUUUUGUGUAUCUGUACUUUUUUUUACUCUGACUUUUAUUCCAUUACAUUUGAAAGACAAAUAUUGUACUUUUGACUCCACUAUAUUUCUUUGAAGGUUUCCAUUACGUGUUACUUUUAAGUCAGCAGAUCAAUUUCUGUUUUUCUUUUCUGAAAUGUGAUAGGCCAUAUGCUGUGUUUGUGUGUCACAGGAGAGAAACCAGUCAACUGCUCCUACGUCGUCAGUUUGAACUUGGCAGUGGUAAUGAUGGCUACAGAUAAAGGUGACGAUUCCUCAUCAGAACACCCGUGGCCAUUAUCUGAGGUCUAUGUUUGGGAUUUUUCAAAUGAAGAAAGAUCCAUAUUGUUUUAAAUAUUUGCUCUGUUUUCCACAUACAAACUUCAUCACGGCUCAUGAAAAACCUGAGAAAACAUUUUGAGUUUGUUGAAUUCCAUAUAAACAUUUUAAACAGUUUUCUGUGAUUUUAUGAGUUGCUGUUUUUAUUCUAUGGAUGGUCAAUUUACUCUUUAUGGAUUUUCAUGGAUUUACCCACCAAGUUGUUGUAUUAAGUCCGGGUCCUGUGAGACUCAGUAUCUUCUCUAACUUCUGAUAACAAAACCACAAUCCGCUGACAUUAUAAAGCAAAUAAAUGUACUUUUGAAUACGUAAGUGUUUUUAGAAACAAGUACUCCAAUACUUAAAAAAAAAACUGACUGAGCAAUUUUAAUUUUCAUAGUAUUUGACCAGGAGUAUCUAUACUUUGACUCAAGUUAAGAGUUGUGUACUUUGUCC